This 406-nucleotide ribosomal RNA is filed under the name uncultured bacterium. RNAcentral's name for it is "partial 16S ribosomal RNA". It matches the Rfam family "Bacterial small subunit ribosomal RNA", at positions 29 to 526 of the family's 1533-position model. The record is from RNAcentral.
AUUGCACGCUGGCGGCAGGCCUAACACCUGCAAGUCGAACGAGUGGCGGACGGGUGAGUAAUGUCUGGGACACUGCCCGAUGGAGGGGGCUAACUACUGGAAACGGUAGCUAAUACCGCAUACCAUCGGAUGUGCCCAGAUGGGAUUAGCUAGUAGGUGGGGUAACGUCUCACCUAGGCGCCGAUCCCUAGCUGGUCUGAGGGGAUGACCAGCCACACUGGAACUGAGACACGGGCCAGAAUCCUAGGGGAGGCAGCAGUGGGGAAGAUUGCACAAGGGGCGCAAGCCUGAUGCAGCCAUGCCGCGUGUAUGAAGAAGGACUUCGGGGUGUAAAGUACUUUCAGCGAGGAGGCGUUACUCGCAGAAGAAGCACCGGCUAACUCCGUGCCAGCAGCCGCGGUAAUAC